CCUGGAUGUAAGACAUGGAGUCAAAGGAGAUUAUUUGGAACUCUAUGGUUUAAUGACUGCCCUGUUGGAUUUUGAAUUUGCUUGGGGGCUGUAGCUCCUUAGUUUGGCUAAUUUCACCCACUUGUAAUUGAUAUAUUUACACUGGAUUCCAUCUUGCUUUUUAUUUUCCAGGCUCAUAGGUGGAAGGGGCUUGCCUUAUCUCAGAACUCUGCCCUUGUGACCUUGGAAGGAAAUAAUACUAUUUUAUCCAGAAGUAUACUACUUUAACAUAUUUCAAGAUGGUUGUUCAGAGGGCAUGCAAACAGAAGUAACCCUGCUAAGCUAUCUUUUGAGGGGAAGAUUUGCAUCUGUAGAGAAUCUGCAUUGAUGCAGACAGGCUUUCUCUGAAAGCCUCCCUCAUCUGGAUCUAGGGAAGUUUAACUGAGAGUCUGUCAUCUUUAAAGGUCUGAGGAAACAUUUAUCAUCUAUUUUCUCUGAGAGCUGCUACCUGUGAGAUUUCAUUCGUGUACCAAAACAACUUUUGCCAGCCAGGCACACAAGACCACCUUUGCUAGUCAGGCCUCCUCUUCUCCUCUUUUUAUAAUCUGCUUUGCCACUAUAACCUGUUAUGCAUGAUCCAAAUCCACAUUCUUUCUGUAACCUCAAGAUGGUAUGUGAGCUUCUGAACCUCAAGUGAGGAGAGUGUGGAGUGAGGACAGUGAGGUAAUCAUUCUGUGAUUCUUUCUUAU
Molecule: long non-coding RNA, 728 nt
Filed under: Callithrix jacchus (white-tufted-ear marmoset)
Lineage: Eukaryota; Metazoa; Chordata; Mammalia; Primates; Cebidae
Description: lncRNA (ENSCJAG00000074068.1)
Source: RNAcentral